Molecule: unclassified non-coding RNA, 647 nt
Filed under: uncultured Prochlorococcus sp.
Lineage: Bacteria; Bacillati; Cyanobacteriota; Cyanophyceae; Synechococcales; Prochlorococcaceae
Description: partial 16S-23S ribosomal RNA intergenic spacer; may also contain 16S ribosomal RNA and 23S ribosomal RNA
Rfam family: Bacterial small subunit ribosomal RNA (bases 1-93)
Source: RNAcentral
UUGUGGAGGAGGACGCCGAAGGUGGGGCUAAUGACUGGGGUGAAGUCGUAACAAGGUAGCCGUACCGGAAGGUGCGGCUGGAUCACCUCCUAACAGGGAGACAACAAAAUGUUUAAUAUUAUUAUUUUGUCACCUUAGGUCGAUCGGUAUCUCACGUUCUUAAUUUAUUAAGAAUUUCAUUUCCUAAGUUUUUCUAGGUCACACCCAUUAUUUUUCCUGGGCCAUUAGCUCAGGUGGUUAGAGCGCACCCCUGAUAAGGGUGAGGUCCCUGGUUCAAGUCCAGGAUGGCCCAUAUCUCUAUGUCGGGGGUAUAGCUCAGUUGGUAGAGCGCCUGCUUUGCAAGCAGGAUGUCAGCGGUUCGAGUCCGCAUACCUCCACUGAUUACCACCUCUUCCAUAACCGGUAGAAGGGAAAAGUUUUGAGUUGUGAUUAUUAUUCUGAACGAAUCUAGCUUCCUAAUGAAAUCAUUAAGAUGCUGGACUCAUUGAAUUAAUUUCAUUGUUUUCAGAGAACCUUGACAACUGCAUAGAUUAUUUUUAAAGACAAUAAGCAUCUUUAAUGAUGCAGAUUUAUUAUUUAUGCGAAUGCAUUAAUAACAAUUCUAUUAAGCUGAUGCUUCAAUUUUGAAGUUAUUGGUCAAGCUACAA